AUUGAACGCUGGCGGCAUGCCUUACACAUGCAAGUCGAACGGUAACGGGCCUUCGGGUGCCGACGAUUGGCGAACGGGCGAGUAAUACACCGGAACGUGCCCGAUCGUGGGGGAUAACGAGGCGAAAGCUUUGCUAAUACCGCAUCCGAUCUACGGAUGAAAGCAGGGGACCGCAAGGCCUUGUGCGGACGGAGCGGCCGAUGGCGGAUUAGGUAGUUGGUGGGAUAAAAGCUUACCAAGCCGGCGAUUUGUAGCUGGUCUGAGAGGAGGAUCAGCCACACUGGGGCUGAGACACGGCCCAGACUCCUACGGGAGGCAGCAGUGGGGAAUUUUGGACAAUGGGCGCAAGCCUGAUCCAGCCAUGCCGCGUGCAGGAUGAAGGCCUUCGGGUUGUAAACUGCUUUUGUACGGAACGAAAAGCCUUCUUUUAAUACAGGGGGGUCAUGACGGUACCGUAAGAAGAAGCACCGGCUAACUACGUG
This 482-nucleotide ribosomal RNA is filed under the name uncultured bacterium. Its description in RNAcentral is "partial 16S ribosomal RNA". It matches the Rfam family "Bacterial small subunit ribosomal RNA", at positions 30 to 507 of the family's 1533-position model. The record is from RNAcentral.